Molecule: ribosomal RNA, 434 nt
Filed under: uncultured Lachnospiraceae bacterium
Lineage: Bacteria; Bacillati; Bacillota; Clostridia; Lachnospirales; Lachnospiraceae
Description: partial 16S ribosomal RNA
Rfam family: Bacterial small subunit ribosomal RNA
Source: RNAcentral
ACGGAAGGCAGCAGUGGGGAAUAUUGCACAAUGGGGGAAACCCUGAUGCAGCGACGCCGCGUGAGUGAAGAAGUUAUUCGUAAUGUAAAGCUCUAUCAGCAGGGAAGAAAAUGACGGUACCUGACUAAGAAGCCCCGGCUAACUACGUGCCAGCAGCCGCGGUAAUACGUAGGGGGCAAGCGUUAUCCGGAUUUACUGGGUGUAAAGGGAGCGCAGACGGCUUUGCAAGUCUGAUGUGAAAGGCAGGGGCUCAACUUCUGGACUGCAUUGGAAACUGUAGGGCUAGAGUGUCGGAGAGGUAAGCGGAAUUCCUAGUGUAGCGGUGAAAUGCGUAGAUAUUAGGAGGAACACCAGUGGCGAAGGCGGCUUACUGGACGAUAACUGACGUUGAGGCUCGAAAGCGUGGGGAGCAAACAGGAUUAGAUACCCUGGUA